GGGGGCAACCCUGGUGGCGAGUGGCGAACGGGUGAGUAAUGCAUCGGAACGUGUCCUCUUGUGGGGGAUAACCAGUCGAAAGACUGGCUAAUACCGCAUGAGAUCGAAAGAUGAAAGCGGGGGACCGCAAGGCCUCGCGCGAGAGGAGCGGCCGAUGCCGGAUUAGCUAGUUGGUGGGGUAAAGGCCUACCAAGGCGACGAUCAGUAGCGGGUCUGAGAGGAUGAUCCGCCACACUGGAACUGAGACACGGUCCAGACUCCUACGGGAGGCAGCAGUGGGGAAUUUUGGACAAUGGGGGAAACCCUGAUCCAGCCAUUCCGCGUGAGUGAAGAAGGCCUUCGGGUUGUAAAGCUCUUUCAGCUGGAAAGAAACGGUACGCACUAACAUUGUGUGCUAAUGACGGUACCAGCAGAAGAAGCACCGGCUAACUACGUGCCAGCAGCCGCGGUAAUACGUAGGGUGCGAGCGUUAAUCGGAAUUACUGGGCGUAAAGCGUGCGCAGGCGGAUUGUUAAGCAAGAUGUGAAAUCCCCGGGCUUAACCUGGGAAUGGCAUUUUGAACUGGCAGUCUAGAGUGUGUCAGAGGGGGGUGGAAUUCCACGUGUAGCAGUGAAAUGCGUAGAUAUCUGGAGGAACACCGGUGGCGAAAGCGGCUCUCUGGCACGUUACUGACGCUGAGGCUCGAAAGCGUGGGGAGCGAACGGGAUUAGAUACCCCGGUAGUCCACGCCGUAAACGUUGUG
This 742-nucleotide ribosomal RNA is filed under the name uncultured Pseudomonadota bacterium. Its description in RNAcentral is "bacterial SSU rRNA". It matches the Rfam family "Bacterial small subunit ribosomal RNA", at positions 75 to 813 of the family's 1533-position model. The record is from RNAcentral. Lineage: Bacteria; Pseudomonadati; Pseudomonadota.